GACGAACGCUGGCGGCGUGCCUAAUACAUGCAAGUCGAACGCUUCUUUCCUCCCGAGUGCUUGCACUCAAUUGGAAAGAGGAGUGGCGGACGGGUGAGUAACACGUGGGUAACCUACCCAUCAGAGGGGGAUAACACUUGGAAACAGGUGCUAAUACCGCAUAACAGUUUAUGCCGCAUGGCAUAAGAGUGAAAGGCGCUUUCGGGUGUCGCUGAUGGAUGGACCCGCGGUGCAUUAGCUAGUUGGUGAGGUAACGGCUCACCAAGGCCACGAUACAUAGCCGACCUGAGAGGGUGAUCGGCCACACUGGGACUGAGACACGGCCCAGACUCCUACGGGAGGCAGCAGUAGGGAAUCUUCGGCAAUGGACGAAAGUCUGACCGAGCAACGCCGCGUGAGUGAAGAAGGUUUUCGGAUCGUAAAACUCUGUUGUUAGAGAAGAACAAGGACGUUAGUAACUGAACGUCCCCUGACGGUAUCUAACCAGAAAGCCACGGCUAACUACGUGCCAGCAGCCGCGGUAAUACGUAGGUGGCAAGCGUUGUCCGGAUUUAUUGGGCGUAAAGCGAGCGCAGGCGGUUUCUUAAGUCUGAUGUGAAAGCCCCCGGCUCAACCGGGGAGGGUCAUUGGAAACUGGGAGACUUGAGUGCAGAAGAGGAGAGUGGAAUUCCAUGUGUAGCGGUGAAAUGCGUAGAUAUAUGGAAGAACACCAGUGGCGAAGGCGGCUCUCUGGUCUGUAACUGACGCUGAGGCUCGAAAGCGUGGGGAGCAAACAGGAUUAGAUACCCUGGUAGUCCACGCCGUAAACGAUGAGUGCUAAGUGUUGGAGGGUUUCCGCCCUUCAGUGCUGCAGCAAACGCAUUAAGCACUCCGCCUGGGGAGUACGACCGCAAGGUUGAAACUCAAAGGAAUUGACGGGGGCCCGCACAAGCGGUGGAGCAUGUGGUUUAAUUCGAAGCAACGCGAAGAACCUUACCAGGUCUUGACAUCCUUUGACCACUCUAGAGAUAGAGCUUUCCCUUCGGGGACAAAGUGACAGGUGGUGCAUGGUUGUCGUCAGCUCGUGUCGUGAGAUGUUGGGUUAAGUCCCGCAACGAGCGCAACCCUUAUUGUUAGUUGCCAUCAUUUAGUUGGGCACUCUAGCGAGACUGCCGGUGACAAACCGGAGGAAGGUGGGGAUGACGUCAAAUCAUCAUGCCCCUUAUGACCUGGGCUACACACGUGCUACAAUGGGAAGUACAACGAGUCGCUAGACCGCGAGGUCAUGCAAAUCUCUUAAAGCUUCUCUCAGUUCGGAUUGCAGGCUGCAACUCGCCUGCAUGAAGCCGGAAUCGCUAGUAAUCGCGGAUCAGCACGCCGCGGUGAAUACGUUCCCGGGCCUUGUACACACCGCCCGUCACACCACGAGAGUUUGUAACACCCGAAGUCGGUGAGGUAACCUUUUUGGAGCCAGCCGCCUAAGGUGGGAUAGAUGAUUGGGGUG
RNAcentral lists this ribosomal RNA (1483 nucleotides) under Enterococcus faecalis. RNAcentral describes it as "bacterial SSU rRNA". It matches the Rfam family "Bacterial small subunit ribosomal RNA". Lineage: Bacteria; Bacillati; Bacillota; Bacilli; Lactobacillales; Enterococcaceae. The record is from RNAcentral.